AAGAGGAAAUACAAUGAUUUUAUUGAAUGUUAGUGCAUACAUAUAAAUGUUCUCCAAAAUAUUUUAUACAUCAUUUAAAAAAAAAGUAGGCUAACUGAUGUAACAAUUGCAGGGCCAUUUAUCUCAGAAGAUGAUGUCUCAAAAGUCACAAAAAAGCCAAAUAAGAAUACAGGUUUGCAGGCAUUUCCAAAGCCCCCUGAACUCCCGAAAAGCCAAACUCUUGCUACCACUGUUCAAACCACUUCUGAAGAAUUAGCCAUGGAUCAGAAUGGGCAGUUGGCCUGGAAUAGACAGCUGCCAGAUUCAUCCUCAGAAAAUUCCGAAAGUGAAAUUCCAGAUGCUGAAGACAAUCACAGCCUAAUAAGGGAGUGCUCCAACUCUUCCAAUCAUCGACCAUACCAUGAAAGUGACAGAGAGCUCUCUAUUUCUACUUCUAGACAUGGUAAAUUAAACAACUUGUUAGAUAAUAAUUGUUGGCUGACUGUGGAGAAACUAAAAAAGACAACUUUUAUAAAUUACAUACACUACUGUACAUUUGCAGAAACAGGGGUUCAUAGUGUGUGCAUACACAUGAAGAUGCCACAGCAUAUAAAAGAAUAUGCGCUUACAUGUGGCAGACUGAAAUAGUCUAUGUUGUAAAGCAUAUGUGACCUGUGCUGGCAAAAUUAGUCACA
Molecule: long non-coding RNA, 674 nt
Organism: Cyprinus carpio (common carp)
Lineage: Eukaryota; Metazoa; Chordata; Actinopteri; Cypriniformes; Cyprinidae
Exons: 4
Source: RefSeq, a predicted model, not a curated record